GCUUUAUGUCCACUUCAGUGAGAUGAAGAAGGUUAAUUAACUUAAAUAUGUGAAUUUAAUGAUUUGAAGCAACUUAUUAUCGAUUGAUAAAUGUGUUUAUACAAGAAAAUCGUCUUUAUACUUAAACAUAAGUUUGUGGAAUUCUUGCAA
Long non-coding RNA from Bactrocera dorsalis (oriental fruit fly), 150 nucleotides. RefSeq lists it as uncharacterized. The transcript has 3 exons. The record is from RefSeq and is a predicted model, not a curated record. NCBI's taxonomy places the organism in Eukaryota, Metazoa, Arthropoda, Insecta, Diptera, Tephritidae.